Molecule: ribosomal RNA, 528 nt
Filed under: Neotoma cinerea (bushy-tailed woodrat)
Lineage: Eukaryota; Metazoa; Chordata; Mammalia; Rodentia; Cricetidae
Description: partial 12S ribosomal RNA
Rfam family: Bacterial small subunit ribosomal RNA
Source: RNAcentral
UAAACUGGGAUUAGAUACCCCACUAUGCUUAGCCCUAAACUAUAAUAAUUAAACAACAAAAUUAUUUGCCUGAGAACUACUGGCCAUGGCUUAAAACUCAAAGGACUUGGCGGUACUUUACAUCCAUCUAGAGGAGCCUGUUCUAUAAUCGAUAAACCCCGUUAUACCUUACCAUUCCUUGCUAAUUCAGCCUAUAUACCGCCAUCUUCAGCAAACCUUAAAAAAGUAUAACAGUAAGCAAGAGAAUCACCAUAAAAACGUUAGGUCAAGGUGUAGCCUAUGGAAUGGGAAGUAAUGGGCUACAUUUUCUAAAUAAGAACAUUACGAAACCCUUUAUGAAACCUAAAGGACAAAGGAGGAUUUAGUAGUAAAUUAAGAAUAGAGUGCUUAAUUGAAUAGCGCAAUGAAGUACGUACACACCGCCCGUCACCCUCCUCAAAUUAAAUUGACACAAUACACAUACAUAAUACAAUUGACAAGUUUAUUAGAGGAGACAAGUCGUAACAAGGUAAGCAUACUGGAAAGUGA